Molecule: ribosomal RNA, 440 nt
Filed under: uncultured bacterium
Lineage: Bacteria
Description: partial 16S ribosomal RNA
Rfam family: Bacterial small subunit ribosomal RNA
Source: RNAcentral
CCUACGGGGUGCAGCAGUGGGGAAUAUUGCACAAUGGGGGAAACCCUGAUGCAGCGACGCCGCGUGAGUGAAGAAGUAAUUCGUUAUGUAAAGCUCUAUCAGCAGGGAAGAAAAUGACGGUACCUGAGUAAGAAGCCCCGGCUAACUACGUUCCAGCAGCCGGGGGAAUACGUAGGGGGCAAGCGUUAUCCGGAUUUACUGGGUGUAAAGGGAGCGUAGACGGCAGUGCAAGUCUGUAGUGAAAGGCUGGGGCUCAACCCCCGGACUGCCCUGGAAACUGUACGGCUGGAGUGCAGGAGAGGGAAGUGGAAGUCCUAGUGUAGCGGUGAAAUGCGUAGAUAUUAGGAGGAACACCAGUGGCGAAGGCGGCUUACUGGACUGUAACUGACGUUGAGGCUCGAAAGCGUGGGGAGCAAACAGGAUUAGAUACCCGGGUAGUC